This 66-nucleotide transfer RNA is filed under the name Gehyra unguiculata. RNAcentral's name for it is "tRNA-Trp". The record is from RNAcentral. Lineage: Eukaryota; Metazoa; Chordata; Lepidosauria; Squamata; Gekkonidae.
CGACUUAGGUUAAAUACAAACCAGGGACCUUCAAAGCCCCAAACAAGAGCACACUCUUAGUCACUG